Long non-coding RNA from Taeniopygia guttata (zebra finch), 3702 nucleotides. NCBI's taxonomy places the organism in Eukaryota, Metazoa, Chordata, Aves, Passeriformes, Estrildidae. The record is from Ensembl.
UUGGCUUUGCUAAUAUUGCCUCAUGUUGUGCAAACUUUGCAGGCUGUAUUUAUGGGAAGGCACUGCAGCCAGGCUUUGCAGGGUGGGGAAAUGGAGCUGAGCCCUUUUGGAACCACGAGGGUGAACCAUUGGUUGCUUUUUAAAACUCAAAAACAAUAGCAGCUCUUCAGCUUCAAAUUCACCUGCAGAGCAGCUCAGGUAGAGGUGUGAUGUGUAAGGGCUCUGCUGGGCUAACUGGGCUUGGCACUGCCUUCCUCUGUGGCAAAACCUGCCCUUAAUAGUACAGACUUCAACAAAAUCCUUUUCUCUUAAUCGCUCCCAAACGCAGUAAAUAUUUCCAAAGGAUUGAAUGAUAUAAAAUCAAACAUGACAGACAAAAUCCUGCUGUUCUGAAGACAAUUUUAGAGAUGUUUUGUGCCCAAAGAGACCCUUUUGAAUACUGUCAGACCUCCAGAAUGUUCUCAUUAAUCCUGCUACUGCAGGACCUGUGAGCUCUGGUCAAGUGCUUUGAUCUACUGUGCAAAGACAUGAAGACACAACCCAGCCCGAGGCAGGCUGCAAUUAAACCAAGAUGAGAGACAAUUUAGGGACACAGGCAAGCCAGCAGGGCAGUCAAGGUAACUCUGAUCAUCCAGCCAAGCUGUGCCUCAGUAAAAUCUUUCGAUAUUAGACUAACAACAACAGUGGAAAAGACUGGACCUGUCCCUUGUGCAAUGAGAGGAGGUCUGGAGCUUAAACAGAGCAGGAAGAGAGGGAAGGAAUCAAAGAAAGGACUCCAUGGAAGAGGACUCUCCUCAGGAAGAAAGGAAGCAUCAUCCUUUGAUUACAGCAAAGAGAAAUCUGGAAAUAUAUCAGUGCAACACAGAGAUAACCACCCCUCUUCUCCCCUGUGCCACACACUAGUCUCAUCUUGCUUGCAAUCUUAAGGAUUAAUUAAUGCUGCACUGGCUCUGCUCAUCCCAAAGCCUGGUGGUAACAGAAGGUAUCAAACAAACUGCUGGUCUCAAAUGGAAAAGAAAUAUUUUAAUGGCUUGAGUUUCCAUUGUGUGAGCAUGAAGUAAAUAUGCUUUAUUUCUUUUGUAUCUAGCAGGAAGCAUAUGGAAGUGGAAUUACAUUUGUCCCAGCCUGGCAGUAUUUUAAAUUUACAGAACCCAAAUCCUUGGAGGAAUGUCAUGAAUUUACACUCACUCUCAAUGCUAACACUUGCACUGGGGUCUUUAGGGCGCUGGAUCCAUGUGCAAAAGCACAUUUGUGCAAACAGCUCUUAGGAGCCAGUGCAGCUUAACGCCUCUGAGAUCAGUUUUACCCAGGCCAGGCUCAGAUCAGAAGCUCCCCACUCCAUCCCAUCAGGGACAUCUCCUCUGAGGCCCUGUCAGCACCGAGUACAAAAUUCUUCCCUUUAUCAGGGUACAUCACCUUGGGUGCAACAAGAACGCGUUCCAGGCUGUAUUAUCUAUUAAGGCACAAAUCUUUCUCAUCUGGUCUUUUUAUUUGAUGCCAAAAUUCACCCCUAAGAAGCAUCAGUCAUUGCCCAGUCCAUCCUAGAAUAACAGAGCAGUUUAUCUCAGCAGGCUGAUGAAAACUUCCCACUUCAAACUAUUACAUUUUCAUUAGAGCUGCUUGACUUUAUUCAGUGACUUCCCCAAGCAAUACAAGCUGAUUUGUAUGUAGAACUAACUUUUGUUUAUCAGCAAUAUCUCCUGAUACAACUCAUCAACAGCAACAUUACAAAUUACACCUAUUCCUAUCACAUUAGAGCUUAAAUCUAAUAUUUUUCUUUCCAAAUUAACCCCAAAUGCCUGCACAUACUGCCACCCUACAGGACUUUGGAAAGGUAAGCUGGGGAGCUGCAGGAGGACUGAAUUCUCCCCUAAUGAGUGCAGGGUUGGAGGGUGACCUUGCAUGUCCUGGUGUGGGAUGGAUCUGUGGGGUCUGGCACAGCAGGAGGAGCUGGAGCCAUCCUCACCUUCCCCACCUUUCACUGCUUUAGCAGAAGGUGCAGGAGGAGCUGGAGCAUCCUCCCCUUGCCCAGACUUUAGCAGAAGGUGCAGGAGGAGCUGGAGCAUCCUCACCUUGCCCAGACUUUAGCAGAAGGUGCAGGAGGAGCUGGAGCAUCCCCACCUUGCCCAGACUUUAGCAGAAGGUGGCAGUGUUGGAUCCACCAUCGCCUCCAGCCCCGGCCCAGCCUCCCCGAGCAGCAGCUGCCAGCACAAAUGCAGCCUCAAUAAAGACAAAUUACACAUCAAUUAGCCAUCAUUCAUGUCGGGAGCCCGUCAGGUGGCUGCAGCCAAAAUCCUUCCCACAGAAAUAGCUGCUUUGUUAGAAACACCUAAACCUGCUUUGUUGGAAGUACCCAAAUGCAGUGCUGGGGACACAGGGACACACAGGCUCGUGCCAAAGCACAUGCCCUGGGCAUCAGGCUCUCUGCUGGGCUGGCUGGAGAUUUUCCAGCAUAAAUCUGAUGAAUUACAGGACAACAAUUCCAGCCCAUGUCCAGAGGGACGUUUUCAGCCCUGGGACACGUCAUGGGAAAUGGGAGAUGCCGUGUUGGACCCUGUGAGUGCCAAGUGCCAGGAGGAGGAGGAGGGCUGAUGUGCUCACAGUUAUGAAGAAUUUCAGUCACAGCAAAAGUGCUGCAGCCUCUCGAGGGCUCAGACAAGUUUUGGUUACACUGCAGGGUGCAGACAGAUGUGUGUGUGCUCUGCCUGGGCGCCAGCUCGAGCCUGGGAAGUUUGUGAGCACACUGCAAAGGGCCUCACCUUGGGGUACUGUAAAUGCAGGCGAACCCAGCGGGAAGAAAUGAUGAUGUCUGACUCAAUUCAGAAGGCUGAAUGAUUUCUUUAUUAUAACUAUGCUAAAAUACAUUAAUAUACUAUAUAAAAGGAGGAUACUAAAACUACAUACUACUUUCUCUGACUCUAACCCAACUUGUGAGAGUCCAGCCCCAGUGGGGUUGGAUUGGCCAUCAGCUCAAACAAUCCUCACCAGAAUCCAACCAAGCACUCACCCCAGGGAAACAAUUCUCCAAACACAUUCCACAUAGGAAAAACAAGGAGCAGAAGCAGAAAUUGUUUUCUCUUUCAUUUCUCUCCGUGCACCUCUAUGAAGAAUCCUGAGAGGGAGAGAAAUGUGCUUGCCACAUUGGGGAAUUAACCCAAAUGCAUUAUUUUGGCCACAACUUAAAAUCUACCUGUCCCAACCACUUCAGAUACCUUCACACGAGGUGGAUGGUGCAGCAGAUUCAGGAGCAUCUUUAGCAAAUGAGAGACAUGUUCCUGAGGGAAUUAAGCCUGGUAACUGCUAAUUGAGCUGUGUUUAGGUAUUCCCAAAACCCCGAGCCCAGACUGACCUGGCACAGUCGGUGCCAAAAUCCACACAGGAUCCAGGGUUUGCUCAGAACCUGAGAAUUUUCCCUCCCAUCCCAGGACAUCACGUCCAGGUGGGGAACUUGUGCCUCCCAGCCCAUCAGACAGAGCAAAGCUCACCCUCUGCUCUCCAGCCCAGUGGAAAUGCUGCAGGAAAUAUCUGCUCCUGGGUGACAGGCAAACAAUCUGCCUCAGACAGGAAACACAACGCCAGCUGAUUCAGGGCUUUUUAGCAUAUGAAUGUGUAAAUUUGCUGUGACAGGUGGGGCGUUUCAAUGACUUUCAAUGGAGAGCCAACUGCUCCUCGGUUAUCAUUAGAAAUUUCUCACUGAAAUGC